AGCGUAGGUGGACUGAUAAGUCAGUGGUGAAAUCUUCGAGCUUAACUCGGAAAUUGCCAUUGAUACUGUUGGUCUUGAGUACAGUUGCUGUGGGCGGAAUAUGACAUGUAGUGGUGAAAUACAUAGAGAUGUCAUAGAACACCGAUUGCGAAGGCAGCUCACAAAGCUGUAACUGACACUGAGGCUCGAAAGUGUGGGGAUCAAACAGGAUUAGAUACCCUGGUAGUCCACACUGUAAACGAUGAUUACCCGCUGCUAGAGGGCAACUUUUAGUGGCUUAGCGAAAGCGAUAAGUAAUCCACCUGGGGAGUACGCCGGCAACGGUGAAACUCAAAGGAAUUGACGGGGGCCCGCACAAGCGGAGGAGCAUGUGGUUUAAUUCGAUGAUACGCGAGGAACCUUACCAGGGCUUGAAAGUUAGUGACCGACUCUGAAAGGAGUCUUUCCGCAAGGACACGAAACUAGGUGCUGCAUGGCUGUCGUCAGCUCGUACCGUGAGGUGUUGGGUUAAGUCCCGCAACGAGCGCAACCCCUACCAUUAGUUGCCAGCGGUUCGGCCGGGGACUCUAGUGGAACUGCCCGCGCAAGCGGUGAGGAAGGUGGGGAUGACGUCAAGUCAUCACGGCCCUUACGUCCUGGGCUACACACGUGCUACAAUGGCUAUUACAGAGGGCAGCUACAUAGUAAUAUGAUGCAAAUCUUCAAAAAUAGUCUCAGUUCGGAUUGAGGUCUGCAACUCGACCUCAUGAAGCUGGAUUCGCUAGUAAUCGCGCAUCAGCAAUGGCGCGGUGAAUACGUUCCCGGGCCUUGUACACACCGCCCGUCAAGCCAUGAAAGCUGGGAGUAUCUAAAGUCGGUAGCCGUAAGGCGCCGCCUAGGGUAAAACCGGUGAUUGGGGCUAAGUCG
This 906-nucleotide ribosomal RNA is filed under the name uncultured bacterium. RNAcentral describes it as "bacterial SSU rRNA". It matches the Rfam family "Bacterial small subunit ribosomal RNA", at positions 568 to 1488 of the family's 1533-position model. The record is from RNAcentral.